This 625-nucleotide long non-coding RNA is filed under the name Lonchura striata (white-rumped munia). RNAcentral describes it as "domestica (Bengalese finch) lncRNA (ENSLSDG00000016002.1)". The record is from RNAcentral. Lineage: Eukaryota; Metazoa; Chordata; Aves; Passeriformes; Estrildidae.
CUGUCCCUGAAAUUAAAAAAGCAGAUAAAAAAGAAGCUGCUGUAUCCAAAGAACUCAAAAAGCCAGCAAAAGCUCCUACAGCCAACCCAGCCAUCAAGAAAGCAGCAACACCAGGUAAGGAAGAAAAAUGUUUGCAUGCAGUGUAUUUCUUGCACUCUUGAACCAGUUUAUUGCAUCAUAGCACCAUCUGCUGGAUUGCACAUGAGCCAGUGGUUUUUGUUAGUUGUCGGGGUGACUUUUUGUCUGUUUUGCUCUAAAUCAUUGUGAUAAUUAAUAUCACAAUAUUUGCUAAGAAAAAAAUAUUUGGCACUGAUUUCUACCAUUAUGUUUGUUCUUGCCUUCCCAUGGCAGCUAUGAGGUGCCAUAUUGAGCCAUUCUGCAGGGCUUGAGAUUAAAAAAAUUAAUCUGAAUAUAAAGUCUGAGUUUAAAAGCAAUAUUUACAGAAACUAAUUUCCAUGUGAAGCUGUAUUUUAGCCCUUUGAGAAGGGGAUCUGGUAUUUCAAAGUGCUGAUCUUACAGUAGGUUGUCAAAAUGAGCUCUUGGAUAAUCAUAAAUAUUCACUGAAAAGACAAGCAAACUUUUUUAAACAAAUAAAUUCCUAUCUGAAAUUAGAUUGGAUUGUAAA